This 76-nucleotide transfer RNA is filed under the name Chloroflexota bacterium. RNAcentral describes it as "Chloroflexi bacterium (mine drainage metagenome) tRNA-Ala". It matches the Rfam family "tRNA". From Rfam's summary of the family: Transfer RNA (tRNA) molecules are approximately 80 nucleotides in length. Their secondary structure includes four short double-helical elements and three loops (D, anti-codon, and T loops). Further hydrogen bonds mediate the characteristic L-shaped molecular structure. tRNAs have two regions of fundamental functional importance: the anti-codon, which is responsible for specific mRNA codon recognition, and the 3' end, to which the tRNAs corresponding amino acid is attached (by aminoacyl-tRNA synthetases). tRNAs cope with the degeneracy of the genetic code in two manners: having more than one tRNA (with a specific anti-codon) for a particular amino acid; and 'wobble' base-pairing, i.e. permitting non-standard base-pairing at the 3rd anti-codon position. The record is from RNAcentral. Lineage: Bacteria; Bacillati; Chloroflexota.
GGGGCGAUAGCUCAGCUGGGAGAGCGCCUGCUUUGCACGCAGGAGGUCAGGGGUUCGAGCCCCCUUCGCUCCACCA